Cornus florida is the source of this 737-nucleotide long non-coding RNA. RefSeq lists it as uncharacterized. The record is from RefSeq and is a predicted model, not a curated record. NCBI's taxonomy places the organism in Eukaryota, Viridiplantae, Streptophyta, Magnoliopsida, Cornales, Cornaceae. The transcript has 2 exons.
GUCUUCUGGCAGAUUUCCAACAGUUGGCAGAUCUGUGCCAGCCAAUACAGGCUGGAAGUCUUCUGGCAGAUUUUCCAACAGAAACCUUUGCCCCUGUUGCCAGAUUAGAAUCCACAAGAAUGAUGCUGUCAUUUGCAUGCUCACUGGGUGUCAAGGUAUAUCAAAUGGAUGAAAAGUCAGCACUCUUAAAUGGAGAUUUUCAUGAAGUGGUGUAUGUUGUGCAACCAGAAGGUUUUGUCCUUGGAAAUCAUCCUUCUCAUGUUUACGAAUUGAAGAAAGCUCUAUAUGGCCUCAAGCACGCACCAAGGGCCUGAUCUUUUCAGAAACUUUGAGAGACAAAUUGUUAUCAUUCUUUGAAAGAUUAAAUUGACACUCUCAGAAAGAUCAAUAGAAGAUUGAGGAAGCUUUCCAAAUCACAAAACCCUCAUUCAAAUGGCGGUGCUCUGUACUGCAACUAUAAAUUGUUCUGCAAGUUCAAUCUUCAAGAGCAAGACUUCUCUUCAUCAAAUGAAGCUGCUCAUACAUCAGAACAUUGAAUACUGUUGAUAUCUCUUUUUGUAUCUUAUAAUUGCUGUUUAGUGGGUGAGACUCGGUGAUAUUUGUACAGUACCAACCAGUACUCUGUAGUGAAUGUUGUGAGUGUACUGUUAGGUGCCAUCUUUGAUUGUAAUGGUGAAUCGCUAGUUGAACUACUGUCGUUUAGAAUAAAGGAAUUAAAGAGAGUUGAGUGUCCUUUA